ACCCCUUACCAUUCCGAACAGGGAAGUUAAGCCCGUCAGCGCCGAUGGUACUGCCUCACAAGGUGGGAGAGUAGGUCGCCGCCUCCU
RNAcentral lists this ribosomal RNA (87 nucleotides) under Robiginitalea sp. SC105. The record is from RNAcentral. Lineage: Bacteria; Pseudomonadati; Bacteroidota; Flavobacteriia; Flavobacteriales; Flavobacteriaceae.